UAACGAGCGCAACCCCUACCUUAGUUGCCAUCAGGUUAAGCUGGGGACGUCUAAAGGAACUGCCUACGCAAGUAGUGAGGAAGGCGGGGAGUGACGUCAAAUCAGCACGGCCCUUACGUCCAGGGCUACACACGUGCUACAAUGGCCGAUACAGAGGGCAGCUACCUGGUGACAGGAUGCAAAUCUCCAAAGUCGGUCUCAGUUCGGAUCGGAGUCUGCAACCCGACUCCGUGAAGUUGGAUUCGCUAGUAAUCGCGCAUCAGCCAUGGCGCGGUGAAUACGUUCCCGGGCCUU
RNAcentral lists this ribosomal RNA (294 nucleotides) under uncultured Sphingobacteriales bacterium. RNAcentral's name for it is "partial 16S ribosomal RNA". It matches the Rfam family "Bacterial small subunit ribosomal RNA", at positions 1090 to 1382 of the family's 1533-position model. Lineage: Bacteria; Pseudomonadati; Bacteroidota; Sphingobacteriia; Sphingobacteriales. The record is from RNAcentral.